RNAcentral lists this ribosomal RNA (231 nucleotides) under Triticum aestivum (bread wheat). RNAcentral's name for it is "partial small subunit ribosomal RNA". Lineage: Eukaryota; Viridiplantae; Streptophyta; Magnoliopsida; Poales; Poaceae. The record is from RNAcentral.
CAAGAGAUCCAACUAUCACCGGAAUGCAGAGAUGACAUCCGGUGGAAGUUCAUCGUUGAUGGGUGUUACUCGGUCGCCACCGCUUACAGAAUGCAGUUUGCUGGACUGAUUAAGUCGGACAUGUCGCGAUUAAUUUGGAAGAUCUGCCCCCUGCCCAAGAUCAAGUUCUUUUCUUGGCUCAUUCUUCAAGAUAUAAUAUGGAUGACGGACAGAUUGCUUCGCAGAGGAUGA